CCCUUUAGACGGGGACAACAUUCCGAAAGGGAUGCUAAUACCGGAUGUGACGCUCCUAUCGCAUGACGGGAGCGUGAAAGAUGGCCUCUACAUGUAAGCUAUCGCUAAAGGAUGGGCCUGCGUCUGAUUAGCUAGUUGGUAGUGUAACGGACUACCAAGGCGAUGAUCAGUAGCCGGUCUGAGAGGAUGAACGGCCACAUUGGGACUGAGACACGGCCCAA
This 221-nucleotide ribosomal RNA is filed under the name uncultured bacterium. RNAcentral describes it as "partial 16S ribosomal RNA". It matches the Rfam family "Bacterial small subunit ribosomal RNA", at positions 129 to 334 of the family's 1533-position model. The record is from RNAcentral.